UCCACUCCUCUAGAAGGAAAUAAAAACCCUAACGUGACAAAAGAUUCCUAGUGGGUGAUGCAGUCCCAUCGAUGACAUGCACCUCACCUAACAGUUAUUGGUAGCAUGCACACUGAUGCGUAGGCAACUCUUUGCCUAGAUGCUUCACUAAGCAUGUUGCAGCCACUUGGUCUAUAAGUCAUGUGGGCUCACCUAACAGUUAUUGCCCAUACUUAUUAGUUAAGCCUGACCUACCAUUCACAAGUAGGUGUAAGGCCAUCAUUGGAUCUCUCACCUAACAAUUAUUAGACCCAACCCCA
RNAcentral lists this long non-coding RNA (299 nucleotides) under Elaeis guineensis (African oil palm). RNAcentral's name for it is "long non-coding RNA (EGUI_LNC068078)". The record is from RNAcentral. Lineage: Eukaryota; Viridiplantae; Streptophyta; Magnoliopsida; Arecales; Arecaceae.